Molecule: ribosomal RNA, 274 nt
Filed under: uncultured bacterium
Lineage: Bacteria
Description: partial 16S ribosomal RNA
Rfam family: Bacterial small subunit ribosomal RNA
Source: RNAcentral
AUACGGAGGGUGCAAGCGUUAAUCGGAAUUACUGGGCGUAAAGAGUACGUAGGUGGUUUAUUAAGUCAGAUGUGAAAGCCCCGGGCUCAACCUGGGAACUGCAUUUGAAACUAGUAAACUAGAGUAUGGUAGAGGGGGGUAGAAUUUCUAGUGUAGCGGUGAAAUGCGUAGAUAUUAGAAGGAAUACCAGUGGCGAAGGCGGCCCCCUGGACCAAUACUGACACUGAGGUACGAAAGCGUGGGUAGCGAACAGGAUUAGAAACCCCAGUAGUCC